UACGUAGGGGGCAAGCGUUAUCCGGAUUUAUUGGGUUUAAAGGGUGCGCAGGCGGCGUGUCAAGCAAGCGGUAAAAUAGCGGGGCUCAACCCCGUCGAGCCGUUUGAACUGGCGCGCUUGAGUUCGGGCGAGGUAGGCGGAAUUCGUGGUGUAGCGGUGAAAUGCAUAGAUAUCACGAAGAACUCCGAUUGCGAAGGCAGCUUACCAGUCUGCGACUGACGCUCAGGCACGAAAGUGUGGGUAUCGAACAGG
RNAcentral lists this ribosomal RNA (252 nucleotides) under uncultured bacterium. RNAcentral's name for it is "partial 16S ribosomal RNA". It matches the Rfam family "Bacterial small subunit ribosomal RNA", at positions 524 to 776 of the family's 1533-position model. The record is from RNAcentral.